GGGGGGAGCAUUAUUUAAUGAUUGCCAUACAGAGUUGGAUAAGGCUCAUUCUUAAAAUCUGUAUUGAUAAUUUUUUUUUGGACGCCUUCCUUCAACGUAGGAAGGCGUAACAGCAAAAUAAAAAAUAGCCUUUCUAGACGGCAUAAUUAUUUGGACUACUAUGACUUCUAAACAUUUUAUAGCCUCGAAGUUAAAACAUCGUUUAAACCGGUCUAUUUAGAUCGAGCUUCAAUAAAAAAUAAUCCUAACCAAAUUAUAAACACAAAUGAUGCUUACCCUGCUUUAAUUUAAGAACCAAAUAUGCCUUACGAAUAAUGAAAUAUAUGAUUUUGUAAUGUAGAUACCUCUAAUUUCCGUCAUUUUCCUAUGGCUAUGUUCUAGAUGCAUACUUGGGCUGGCUCCCUGCAGGAAGGGCAGAAGUCUGUUCCUGCCGUCUUGUCAUAAUUAAACAAAGUCAUAACAUUUGCUUUCAGUCUUAUUCUGAUUUGGUGUGAAUGGCAUGAACAAGGCAAUCCUUGCAUCAAUAACAAAUUGAUCAAAAUCAAAGUGUUUGGGGUCAUAAUCUGGAAUGCUCCGUUGAACGAAAUUUAAUUUGCUUCUUCACCUUUCGUGUCCAAAUCUUUCGUCUUUGUUGGUCUUUCGGAAAUGUAAACAAACAUAAUCCCUGACCUGAUCAAGUAUUACAGUUGUAUGCAACACAAAACACCAUAGCCGGUUAACGUUGUUUGCAAUUUUACGUUCUAACACAUGUAUUCG
Molecule: long non-coding RNA, 756 nt
Filed under: Mytilus galloprovincialis (Mediterranean mussel)
Lineage: Eukaryota; Metazoa; Mollusca; Bivalvia; Mytilida; Mytilidae
Source: RNAcentral